GAAACGCGAUAGUUAAUGUGAAUUGCAGAAUUCAGUGAAUCAUCGAGUCUUUGAACGCACAUUGCGCCCAUAGGUAUUCCUUUGGGCAUGUCUGUUUGAGCGUCAUUACAACCCUCAGCUAACCGCUGGUUUUGAACCUGAACGGGUGACACCGCGCCGGUUUUAAGGUUGUAAGCUCUGCUGGCAGCUCUGCCCAACCAGAACAUAGUAAGCACUACUUGUCCGGGUGAAGCUGAACGGUACGGCCUGAACAAAACCUACCCACUCUCAAGGUUUGACCUCAGAUCAGACAAGGAUACCCGCUGAACUUAAGC
This 314-nucleotide unclassified non-coding RNA is filed under the name plant metagenome. Its description in RNAcentral is "partial contains 5.8S ribosomal RNA, internal transcribed spacer 2, and large subunit ribosomal RNA". The stretch from base 1 to 105 matches the Rfam family "5.8S ribosomal RNA", at positions 50 to 154 of the family's 154-position model. The record is from RNAcentral.